This 84-nucleotide transfer RNA is filed under the name Leptolyngbya sp. Its description in RNAcentral is "tRNA-Leu". It matches the Rfam family "tRNA". Rfam says of the family: Transfer RNA (tRNA) molecules are approximately 80 nucleotides in length. The record is from RNAcentral. RNAcentral also lists the same sequence under 4 other names. Lineage: Bacteria; Bacillati; Cyanobacteriota; Cyanophyceae; Leptolyngbyales; Leptolyngbyaceae.
GCGGGCGUGGCGGAACUGGCAGACGCGCGGGGUUUAGGUCCCCGUGGCCGCAAGGCCGUGCAGGUUCGACCCCUGUCGCCCGCA